UACGUAGGUGACAAGCGUUGUUCGGAAUUACUGGGCGUAAAGGGCUCGUAGGCGGCCAACUAAGUCAGACGUGAAAUCCCUCGGCUUAACCGGGGAACUGCGUCUGAUACUGGAUGGCUUGAGAUUGGGAGAGGGAUGCGGAAUUCCAGGUGUAGCGGUGAAAUGCGUAGAUAUCUGGAGGAACACCGGUGGCGAAGGCGGCAUCCUGGACCGGCAUUGACGCUGAGGCGCGAAAGCCAGGGGAGCAAACGGG
RNAcentral lists this ribosomal RNA (253 nucleotides) under uncultured bacterium. RNAcentral describes it as "partial 16S ribosomal RNA". It matches the Rfam family "Bacterial small subunit ribosomal RNA", at positions 524 to 776 of the family's 1533-position model. The record is from RNAcentral.